Small nucleolar RNA from Pan troglodytes (chimpanzee), 109 nucleotides. It matches the Rfam family "Small nucleolar RNA U13". NCBI's taxonomy places the organism in Eukaryota, Metazoa, Chordata, Mammalia, Primates, Hominidae. The record is from Rfam.
AUUCUUUUGCUGUUCGUAAGCAUAAGGAUCAGGUAUUCAUGGUCAUGUGUAAGACGUGCCUCCCUCCAACCUUGUUACGAUGUGGACGUCAGCACAUACCCAUUUGAUG